Molecule: long non-coding RNA, 677 nt
Organism: Oncorhynchus tshawytscha (Chinook salmon)
Lineage: Eukaryota; Metazoa; Chordata; Actinopteri; Salmoniformes; Salmonidae
Exons: 3
Source: RefSeq, a predicted model, not a curated record
CACAUACCCUAGAGAGGUUAACCUGGUCCUACCCUUCAUAUACACUGAUUUGAAGUGGAUUUAACAGGUGGCCUCAAUAAGGGUCAAAACCUUCACUUGGUCAGUCUGUCAUGGAAAGAUCAGGUGUUCCUAAUGUUUUGUACACUGUAUAUUGCUCUGUUACCUUUUCUAUAUUCUUAAUCUGGUUUUAGUCAUUUAAGUUGACACUGAAAAGGUUUUUUCAUUCAGAAUGUUAAGAAAUCAUUUCUGGAAACGCAGAAAUAAUUUAAUGAGUUAAUAUCCGAGGCCAAUACUCUAGCGACAGAUGGAUUUAAGACGAGGUGUUUAUUUGUUCUACAGGAAGACCGAUUAGCUGUGAAGUCACUUUGGCCGGAGAAAGAUGGCGUCGCUUCUAUCCCCUACAAGAUCAACGAUGAUCUGGUGGACAGAAAGAAAACCAUGCUAGCAGCGUUCAAGCUCAUUUCAGACCAGACGUGUAUCCGCUUCCACGAAUACACCAAUGAGAUUAACUACAUCGAGUUCAUCUCUGGGACAGGGUUGACCAGGUCUAUUUUGCUGUAGUGUUCUUCCGCGAUGACCUGUGCCAUGACGGCAUGGAUGGUUUUCUCUGUGGGGAAGAAGCGCCUCAGCGGCGGCGGGGUCGUGUCUUGGAACAGCCCCGUCCGCACGUACUGGAC